Molecule: long non-coding RNA, 599 nt
Filed under: Equus caballus (horse)
Lineage: Eukaryota; Metazoa; Chordata; Mammalia; Perissodactyla; Equidae
Description: lncRNA (ENSECAG00000049533.1)
Source: RNAcentral
CCUCUUUGCCCUCUUAGGCAACUUCUCUGGUCCUCUGUGUCAUUCCUGACUACUUUAAACCUAGUCACUACUUCUUCAAGGAUAAUGAAUGUCCCUUCGUGAUGGCUGUCUUAAGAGUUGGAACCAGGAGCAGAGUCAGAGUCAGCAGGAAACCCCAGCCAGGCAUCCGGCUCAGAGCCCCACUGGAUGGCUCAUCAUGCCCUAACCCAGGGUCAGAAGCCUGACCAUGAAAAGAGAGAGAUAUUUGAGGAGGAGCACAGGAAAGAACAAAGAUGGAGGUUAUGAAAGCUAAAUUCUGGCCUCAGCUUUACCAAUAUCCAUUUGGCUGACCUGGAGCUUUAUCAUCUCUACCUUUAAUCACAUGAAUCUCAAAUUACCUUCUAUUUUAGAACAGAGUUGCUCUGAUAAGGGAUUGUUGUGGUACAAAAUUGGAAGAGGAAACAAGACAGGAGACUUUUGCAGUGGUUCGGACAAAGGAUAACAGUGGCUCUAAUUGGGGUCAGAACAUUGGAGAUGAGAAGCUACAAGAACUGCUACAUAAAAUCUAAGUCUGCUUUCUUCUUGUCCCUCAAUAAAUACCUUCUCUGAAAGCUCCAGAG